RNAcentral lists this ribosomal RNA (481 nucleotides) under uncultured bacterium. RNAcentral describes it as "partial 16S ribosomal RNA". It matches the Rfam family "Bacterial small subunit ribosomal RNA", at positions 28 to 507 of the family's 1533-position model. The record is from RNAcentral.
GAUGAACGCUGGCGGCGUGCUUAACACAUGCAAGUCGAGCGAAGCAUUUGCGACAGAUUUUUUCGGAAUGAAGUUGCUUAUGACUGAGUGGCGGACGGGUGAGUAACGCGUGGGUAACCUGCCUUGUACUGGGGGAUAGCAGCUGGAAACGGCUGGUAAUACCGCAUAAGCGCACAAUGUUGCAUGACAUGGUGUGAAAAACUCCGGUGGUAUAAGAUGGACCCGCGUCUGAUUAGCUAGUUGGUGAGAUAACAGCCCACCAAGGCGACGAUCAGUAGCCGACCUGAGAGGGUGACCGGCCACAUUGGGACUGAGACACGGCCCAGACUCCUACGGGAGGCAGCAGUGGGGAAUAUUGCACAAUGGAGGAAACUCUGAUGCAGCGACGCCGCGUGAGUGAAGAAGUAAUUCGUUAUGUAAAGCUCUAUCAGCAGGGAAGAUAGUGACGGUACCUGACGAAGAAGCUCCGGCUAAAUACGUG